CAGCACCCCUCACACUGCACCACUACACACAUUAUGCUCCAGAUACACAUUAGAUCCCUUACCCUAUAUGCACUCUUAAUCCUCUACACAAACACACACACACAAACACAAUCUUCUAUACACACUCUGGGUCCUUUACACACUAGAUCUCUUACACACACACUGCACCACCUACACACACACACUACAUUCCUUGUAAGCAAACACAUAUAACAUUCUCUAAACACACCCUCUCUACAACCCCUACACACACUACGUCACCUAUACACACACACUACUGCCCUUAUGCACACACUCGCUACAUACCCUAUAACAUUAUGCCCCU
Pelobates cultripes (western spadefoot toad) is the source of this 325-nucleotide non-coding RNA. The record is from the annotation of a GenBank genome assembly. NCBI's taxonomy places the organism in Eukaryota, Metazoa, Chordata, Amphibia, Anura, Pelobatidae.